AAUGAAGCUGUCAAGGAAGAGGGGAGAAGAAGGUUGGACUCUUGUGUGCUUAUGACUAGCUGAAGAAAACUGAGAUGUUUCGGAAAAUACUGCAACUGGAGAGUGAUUAAGUCAAGAUUAUGAAUAUCAAAGUCAAAGACAUGUUGAAGAUUCAAAAUUGAGAGGUUUGAAGUCUUGAUUUUUCCGCUGCAAAUUACAAGGUACUUGUGAUAUUCAUGUCUGAUGUUUUUAAGGAAGUGUCUCUAUGAGCAUAAGAAACUUAGCAUGUUGUGAUCAAUCUGAGGUAACAUUCCAGAGUGGUGUAACUCCGGUUCAGUUCUGUAAGGUUAGCUGAAGUGACAUCUGCAAGGAGAUGUUGGUCGGGAUCAAUCUGAGGUAAAAAUAUUCAAAGUUGAGUAACUCCGGUUAAGUAUUAGCCCAGGAAGCUGAAGUGUCUUAUGCUACGUAAAGGCUGUGUCAAGAUGUUGUUGUGGCUAAAGGAUGGUUCACACAAAAGUAGAAGAUUAAUAGAAGGAAGUGGCACUUGAAGCUGUUUUUAGAACUUGUGUGAUUGGGAGUGACUGCAUGAUGAAACAUGACAUUGGAAGUGACUUAAGAUUUCUAAACGAAUUCAUUGGUAGACAGUCCUGUACGCGCAACUGCUGAG
This 646-nucleotide small RNA is filed under the name Arabidopsis thaliana (thale cress). Its description in RNAcentral is "putative long intergenic non-coding RNA". The record is from RNAcentral. Lineage: Eukaryota; Viridiplantae; Streptophyta; Magnoliopsida; Brassicales; Brassicaceae.